CUCACUUCAGUUUCUGCACAGCAUCGUUCCACCCCGAACCUUUGAAGAAAAAAAUAAAUAUUUUCUUAUAUUAUGUUCAGUUUGUGGUAUGUAAAUUCCUAACGGAAAUUAAGGCCUUCUGUUGCUGUAUAAAUAUCGAGAUUCUGCAUGAAUUUUGGUUCCUCAAUGCAAACACAUUACAACACCUAUUGUUUCUGACACAUUGUGCUUGGAUUUUGGUUUCUCAUUGCAAUUACUGAUUUAAGAAUGGAUAUUGCGCAACGGAAGAAAAGAAAGUCUGAAGGGAAAAUUGAUUAGAUGAAUGGUGAUGUUGAAUCUUUGACCAAAGAGAAGGCUGAACUAGUAACAAAAGGGUUCGUUCCUGAUCUUAAGAAACAGCUGGAUACUGAAAAACGCGAGCGUGCACCGAAGGAUCAACAACUAAAGGAGAUGAUCACAAGUAUGAAGGAACAAGAACAAAUGACAACUGCAAAUGCACUUGGCCGCUAAAGGAAUAUUUACACCAAAGACAAGUCCAACUAGCAAGGCUGAAACACUGAUGCCGAACCAACUCAGGAUCAUAAUAAGGAGAAACAAAAGACUAAGAAGAGAAAGGAUACCUUUUCAGAUACUGUAGAUAGCUCAGAUUGUGUCCUGUAGACUCAUUUGCUCCUAUAUUUGCACAAAACGAUUUGCAGUAGUACAAGCUACGGUGUUUGGGCAGGCCGGGCACUAACUAGAGUUCGAGACUAAACCAAAAAAUAGAGGAAGGAGAGGUCGAGGUCGAGGUCAUAUACCACCAAUAAUGUCAAAACGCUGAUUACAACAUACAAAAUUGAAGGCGCGUAUCUUUCCAAAAGGAAAGGGUAAAGUUUGUGAGGAUAAAUUAUCAUUGUUACUUAUCCCCGUCGACGCAGCCCCAUAUACCGAGAUCACUGCUAACCUUACUAGUCCAACAUACCGUUGCAACAAUGUGACAAAAGGUAUAUCAGAUAUGGAAUACCAAUUGAUCGAGACUAAGCCUUGUGGAUGGACGUCGUUCAUGCCGCUUACCGCACUCCACAACCCAAUAGAAGGUUAUCUUGUGCACUACACUUUUGUCAUUGGGAUAAAUUUUAUUUGUUGCAGAUGGAGCCAAUAGAGGGAUGAUAUGGAUGCCAGAUCUAAGAGAGCUGUCAAAAGUCCCAAGUCUGGCUGCAGUUUACAUUUUGGCAAGUUAGAAAAAGGUGGGCAAGGCCGCAAGGGUUAAGAAAGAAAGACAUCUUGCUAGGUUUUCUGGUGUAAUUCAAGGUUUUCUUUUUUCCUUUUCUCUUCUUGUAUAUGCAUCGUUACUUGGCUGUUAGUAGGUCCGUACGGUCCUGUUGAACUUCUAAUAUGGUAGCUAUAUAGUGUUUUGAUGCAUAUGUUAUUUGAAGCCUCAUGCAGCGACAUAUCACAUAUGUUUUGGUUGACAACUAUAAUGAA
Long non-coding RNA from Papaver somniferum (opium poppy), 1443 nucleotides. RefSeq lists it as uncharacterized. The record is from RefSeq and is a predicted model, not a curated record. Lineage: Eukaryota; Viridiplantae; Streptophyta; Magnoliopsida; Ranunculales; Papaveraceae. The transcript has 4 exons.